AUGAACGCUGGCGGCGUGCCUCAUACAUGCCAGUCGAGCGAACAGACGAGGAGCUUGCUCCUCUGACGUUAGCGGCGGACGGGUGAGUAACACGUGGAUAACCUACCUAUAAGACUGGGAUAACUUCGGGAAACCGGAGCUAAUACCGGAUAAUAUAUUGAACCGCAUGGUUCAAUAGUGAAAGACGGUUUUGCUGUCACUUAUAGAUGGAUCCGCGCCGCAUUAGCUAGUUGGUAAGGUAACGGCUUACCAAGGCGACGAUGCGUAGCCGACCUGAGAGGGUGAUCGGCCACACUGGAACUGAGACACGGUCCAGACUCCUACGGGAGGCAGCAGUAGGGAAUCUUCCGCAAUGGGCGAAAGCCUGACGGAGCAACGCCGCGUGAGUGAUGAAGGUCUUCGGAUCGUAAAACUCUGUUAUUAGGGAAGAACAAAUGUGUAAGUAACUAUGCACGUCUUGACGGUACCUAAUCAGAAAGCCACGGCUAACUACGUG
This 496-nucleotide ribosomal RNA is filed under the name uncultured bacterium. RNAcentral describes it as "partial 16S ribosomal RNA". It matches the Rfam family "Bacterial small subunit ribosomal RNA", at positions 29 to 507 of the family's 1533-position model. The record is from RNAcentral.